RNAcentral lists this ribosomal RNA (497 nucleotides) under uncultured crenarchaeote. Its description in RNAcentral is "bacterial SSU rRNA". It matches the Rfam family "Archaeal small subunit ribosomal RNA", at positions 26 to 508 of the family's 1478-position model. Lineage: Archaea; Thermoproteati; Thermoproteota. The record is from RNAcentral.
ACUGCUAUCGGAUUGAUACUAAGCCAUGCGAGUCAUUGUAGCAAUACAAGGCAGACGGCUCAGUAACGCGUAGUCAAUCUACCCUAUGGACGGGAAUAACCUCGGGAAACUGAGAAUAAUGCCCGAUAGAACAUUAUGCCUGGAAUGGUUUAUGUUUCAAAUGAUUUAUCGCCAUAGGAUGGGACUGCGGCCUAUCAAGUUUGUUGGUGAGGUAAUGGCCCCACCAAGACUAUUACAGGUACNNGCUCUGAGGAGGAGUACCCCCGGAGAUGGGUACUGAAGACACCGGACCCAGGCCCUAUGGGGCGCAGCAGGCCGAGAAAUCUUUGCCAUGUGCGAAAGCACGACCAAGGUUAAUCCGAGUGGUUUCUGCCUACAAGAAACCCCUUUUCGUCNGUCCUAGAAACACUUCCUUAACCGAAUAAGGGGUGGGCAAAGUUCUGGUGUCACCGCCGGCGGGGUAAUACCCAACUCAACUCCUCACAAGGGUUAUUNGG